AGAGUUGCUCAGAUGAUCGCAUGGGACGCUAACCCGUUUUCAAAAAACAGCAGUUCAUAUUUUGGAUUUGUUAUGUUUCUGAAACAGCGUUGCGACUCAUGAGGAAAGUCCGGGCUCCAUAGGAUACAAUGAUGGAUAACGUCCAUCGAUCGUGAGAUCAGGGAAAGCGCAACAGAAAGUAAACCGCCUGUUUUAACUUUUUGGUCUUUUUCUUUUUUCAUUAACGUUCAUUUUUAUUGAAUGUUUUUUGAAAGAGAGAGAAAAAAGUGAAAAAUCGUUAAAAUCGGUAAGGGUGAAACGGCGAGGUAAGAGCUCGCCAGCGAAGCAAGCGAUUGUUUCGGCUAGGCAAGCCCCAUUGGGAGCAAGGUUAAAUCGAAACGGUUUAUUCAUAAAAGACUAUUUUGAAUUGAUCAGACGAAUAAAAUUCAAGGCUGAUUAACAAUAAUCUGAAUAAACAGGAAUGAUCCGUUCCUUAUGUUUCAGGUAAACCGCUUGAACGUUUAGGCAACUGAACGUCUAGAUAAAUGAUCAUCGCUGAAUAACAAAAAUGAUUUUUUGUUUUCAGUACAAAACCCGGCUUAUGAACAACUCUUCUU
This 596-nucleotide RNase P RNA is filed under the name Planctomycetia bacterium. Its description in RNAcentral is "RNase P RNA component class A". It matches the Rfam family "Bacterial RNase P class A". From Rfam's summary of the family: Ribonuclease P (RNase P) is a ubiquitous endoribonuclease, found in archaea, bacteria and eukarya as well as chloroplasts and mitochondria. Its best characterised activity is the generation of mature 5'-ends of tRNAs by cleaving the 5'-leader elements of precursor-tRNAs. The record is from RNAcentral. Lineage: Bacteria; Pseudomonadati; Planctomycetota; Planctomycetia.